GACGAACCGUGCAAACGUUGUUCGGAAUCACUGGGCUUAAAGGGCGCGUAGGCGGGCCAGCCAGUCUGUGGUGAAAGCCUCCAGCUUAACUGGAGAAGUGCCGUGGAUACUGCUGGCCUCGAGGAGGAUAGGGGCAUCUGGAACGGUCGGUGGAGCGGUGAAAUGCGUUGAUAUCGACCGGAACUCCGGUGGCGAAGGCGAGGUGCUGGGUCCUUUCUGACGCUGAUGCGCGAAAGCCAGGGGAGCAAAGCGGG
Molecule: ribosomal RNA, 254 nt
Filed under: uncultured bacterium
Lineage: Bacteria
Description: partial 16S ribosomal RNA
Rfam family: Bacterial small subunit ribosomal RNA
Source: RNAcentral